RNAcentral lists this long non-coding RNA (1008 nucleotides) under Falco tinnunculus (common kestrel). RNAcentral describes it as "lncRNA (ENSFTIG00000000854.1)". Lineage: Eukaryota; Metazoa; Chordata; Aves; Falconiformes; Falconidae. The record is from RNAcentral.
AUAAAACUUCCCUUGGGUACGUGUGCGCUUGACGAGGGGUGGGCGCAGGAGCCGGUGCUGCGCGGGGGGGCCCGGCGGCUCUCCCCGCCCCCCAAAGUACCGCACCUGCAGGCCGGACUCGGUCAUGUAGAUGCAUUCGUAACGCGGCGGCUAGAAAGCAACUGGAGCUUGGCUCACUGGCGGAUAAGGCCGCGGAGCGACCCAAGAGCAACACGCGGUCAUCGGCGCGGGAUCCGCGUCACCCCGCGGUGGGCGGGCACGCGCUGCAGCUCCCACAGCCCGCCCGCCGCACGCGGCCCGCCCGCGCGCCCGCCUUGGCGCCUCGCCCGCGCGCCGCGCCCCGCGCCCCGUCCCGCCGCCUCCCCUCAGGCCGGGCGGGCGCCGCCUCAGCCCGCGCCGCCCCCGCACAGCUCCCCCCUCACGCCGCCACAGCUGCCGCCCCAGGCAACGCACCCCGGGCGGGGGCCGCCGCGGCCGCCUCCGGAACUGGCCCGUGCGCCCAUCCGCGGGGGGGGGGCGGCAUGGCGGCCCCCGCGCUCCUUUCUCCCUCUCUGUAAUUCCCUUUCGGGGGGCCGAGCGGAGAGGACGGCGCCUGCCAGAGUGAGUGGCCGCGCGUGGGGCCGGGCCUGCCCUCACUCCCUCACCGGGAAAGCGGACUGGGCUGGGCGGUGCAGCGGGCGACGCCUCGCAGCGGGGCCCGGCCGGCAAUUCCCCUGCGGGCGCGUUCCGGCCGCCACCUGUGGGCUUCGGGCGGGCGGGAAAACGGAGGCGGCCACGGCCGGGCACCCGUGCUUCCCAGCCGCUCCCCCCGCCGGGGGCCGGGCACCCGUGCCUCCCAGCCGCAGCCCCGGGAGCGGCGGCGGAGGGGUGGGGGUGAGCCAGCAGCCCCGGCGGGCAGGGGUCGCGGGAGCCCGCCGCAGCGCCGGGCGAGCCGCACGCAGGGCGGGCGGUGCGGGCCGGGCCCCAGGCGGCGUGCGGAGGCAGCGGGGGUAUGUUCUCCCUCGCUGA